Long non-coding RNA from Papilio polytes (common Mormon), 246 nucleotides. RefSeq lists it as uncharacterized. The transcript has 2 exons. Lineage: Eukaryota; Metazoa; Arthropoda; Insecta; Lepidoptera; Papilionidae. The record is from RefSeq and is a predicted model, not a curated record.
AAGAAGAAGGGCAAACCUGACCCCUACGCCUACCUGCCCCUCUCCAGGAACAACUUGAAUAAAAGGAAAAAAGCUAUAACGUCGAAACAAUUUAAAGGCAUCGUGAAAUCCAAGACUAAAAACUUGAAACUGAAGUCAAAAAGGAAAUGACGAGGAAACGACUGUAAUCUCUGCUUUUAACACUAGAUUUUUAUUUAAGCUUUUGUUAAACAUUUCAUUUAUAUAAAAUAAAUGUUUAUGAAAUAA